RNAcentral lists this ribosomal RNA (543 nucleotides) under Triticum aestivum (bread wheat). Its description in RNAcentral is "partial small subunit ribosomal RNA". Lineage: Eukaryota; Viridiplantae; Streptophyta; Magnoliopsida; Poales; Poaceae. The record is from RNAcentral.
AUGGGGGAUGUAGGAGGGAGGGGAAAUCUGGCUUCGUACUUACAACUGGACAAUACCCACCGUCAGUUCUCAUCGAGCAGAAAGAGAGAUUCACUACAUUGGCAAGGAAAAUCUCACCUGCAUCGGGUUUCCACCGGCACGGAUCUAAGUGGAGAGGCACCGUGCUCGCCGCCAUCGGGGAGGAGGGCGUGGUCGGGAGCCCCCCAUGCUCGCCAGCGUGAACGGCCGCGGAGAAGAGGAGCACGAUGCCAUGGUGGACCCUUGGGAAGGCACUGCUUCCUCUUGCGCUUUCCGUUGCCGACGACGGCAAUGGUCUGGGUGGAGGGCGGCCGACGGCCCCGACCUGGAGUGAUUGGCGGCUGCGGUCACUUGGGUGCUCGGCGGCGCCGCUCUGGAGCGGUGGAGGGCGACGGCAGCACGGCUCGGCAUGGAGGGCGACUGCGGCACGGCUCGGCAUGCAGGGCGACGGCGGUACUGUCGGGAUGGAGGGAGGUCGGCGGCGGUGGGAUGGCUGGGGGCGGCGACGGCGGUGGGGAUGGCUGA